GCCUGACGUGGUGGCGCGUGCCUGUGGUCCCAGCUACUCGGGAGGCUGAGACAGAAGGAUAGCUUGAGUCCUGGAGUUCUGGGCUAUAGCGUGCUAUGCAAUUGGGUGUCUGCGCUAAGUUUGGCAUCAAUAUGGUGACCUUCAGGAGGAGGGCCACCAGGUUGCCUAAGGAGGGGUGAAUCAGCCCAGGUUGGAAGCAGAGCAGGUCAAAACUCCCGUGCCGAUCGGUAGUGGGAUUGCACCUGUGAAUAGCCACUGCACUCCAGCCUGGGCAACAUAGUGAGACCCCUUCUCAG
Molecule: non-coding RNA, 296 nt
Organism: Otolemur garnettii (small-eared galago)
Lineage: Eukaryota; Metazoa; Chordata; Mammalia; Primates; Galagidae
Source: Rfam